Molecule: ribosomal RNA, 468 nt
Filed under: uncultured bacterium
Lineage: Bacteria
Description: partial 16S ribosomal RNA
Rfam family: Bacterial small subunit ribosomal RNA
Source: RNAcentral
GACGAACGCUGGCGGCGUGCUUAACACAUGCAAGUCGAACGGAAAGGCCCUGCGUUUGUUGGGUGCUCGAGUGGCGAAAGGGUGAGUAACACGCGAGUAACCUGCCCUCGACUUUGGGAUAACUUCAGGAAACUGGGGCUAAUACCGGAUAGAAGCUCCUGCUGCAUGGCGUGGGUUGGAAAGUUUCGGCGGUGGGGGAUGGACUCGCGGCUUAUCAGCUUGUUGGUGGGGUAGUGGCUUACCAAGGCGUUGACGGGUAGCCGGCCUGAGAGGGUGACCGGCCACAUUGGGACUGAGAUACGGCCCAGACUCCUACGGGAGGCAGCAGUGGGGAAUAUUGCACAAUGGGCGGAAGCCUGAUGCAGCAACGCCGCGUGCGGGAUGACGGCCUUCGGGUUGUAAACCGCUUUCGCCUGUGACGAAGCGUGAGUGACGGUAAUGGGUAAAGAAGCACCGGCUAACUACGUG